This 77-nucleotide transfer RNA is filed under the name Granulicatella adiacens ATCC 49175. RNAcentral's name for it is "tRNA-Arg". It matches the Rfam family "tRNA". From Rfam's summary of the family: Transfer RNA (tRNA) molecules are approximately 80 nucleotides in length. Their secondary structure includes four short double-helical elements and three loops (D, anti-codon, and T loops). Lineage: Bacteria; Bacillati; Bacillota; Bacilli; Lactobacillales; Carnobacteriaceae. The record is from RNAcentral.
GGUGUCAUAGCUCAGUUGGAUAGAGCAAGCGUUUCCUAAACGCUAGGUCGGGGGUUCGAGACCCUUUGGCACCGCUA